CGACGUAGGGGGCGAGCGUUGCUCGGAAUCACUGGGCUUAAAGGACGCGUAGGCGGUUAUGCAAGUCCAGGGUAGAAGGCGGAGGCUCAACCUCCGUAAUGCCUUGGAGACUGCAUAACUUGAGUAAGCGAGGGGAGGGCGGAAUUCCCGGUGUAGCGGUGAAAUGCGUAGAUAUCGGGAGGAAGGCCUGUGGCGAAGGCGGCCCUCUGGCGCUUAACUGACGCUGAGGCGCGAAAGCGUGGGGAGCAAACAGGAUUAGAAACCCUAGUAGUCC
This 274-nucleotide ribosomal RNA is filed under the name uncultured bacterium. RNAcentral's name for it is "partial 16S ribosomal RNA". It matches the Rfam family "Bacterial small subunit ribosomal RNA", at positions 523 to 796 of the family's 1533-position model. The record is from RNAcentral.